CACGUAGGGUGCGAGCGUUGUCCGGAAUUAUUGGGCGUAAAGAGCUCGUAGGCGGUGUGUCGCGUCGGCCGUGAAAACCUGGGGCUUAACUCUGGGCUUGCGGUCGAUACGGGCAUCACUGGAGUUCGGCAGGGGAGACUGGAAUUCCUGGUGUAGCGGUGAAAUGCGCAGAUAUCAGGAGGAACACCAGUGGCGAAGGCGGUGCUCUGGGCCGGAACUGACGCUGAGGAGCGAAAGCGUGGGGAGCAAACAGG
Molecule: ribosomal RNA, 254 nt
Filed under: uncultured bacterium
Lineage: Bacteria
Description: partial 16S ribosomal RNA
Rfam family: Bacterial small subunit ribosomal RNA
Source: RNAcentral